Molecule: ribosomal RNA, 245 nt
Filed under: uncultured bacterium
Lineage: Bacteria
Description: partial 16S ribosomal RNA
Rfam family: Bacterial small subunit ribosomal RNA
Source: RNAcentral
UAGGUGGCGAGCGUUAUCCGGAUUUACUGGGUGUAAAGGGCGUGUAGGCGGGACUGCAAGUCAGAUGUGAAAACUCAGGGCUCAACCCUGAGCCUGCAUUUGAAACUGUAGUUCUUGAGUACUGGAGAGGCAGGCGGAAUUCCCUGUGUAGCGGUGAAAUGCGUAGAUAUAGGGAGGAACACCAGUGGCGAAGGCGGCCUGCUGGACAGCAACUGACGCUGAGGCGCGAAAGCGUGGGGAGCAAA